CAAGAUUUGCCCAAACAGGAUACAACCACAUAUAUACACAUACACAUAAUCACACAUCAUUCACAAUCACAUCCAUAACCAGAGUUAUUCAUAAAUACAUAACUAUUAGUUUAAACUGUUUCCUACCCGGAAACUCGUUUUGAAAUACUAAGUCAUGAAAACCACAAGAAAAUCUUUAAAACUGUUUUCCACACGGAAACCUUUUUCUUUAAAAACUUGCUACCACGAGGGGUAGAAAAUCAUUUUCAUUCCACAGAAAUUCCAAUUCCAUUAUUAUAUUCAUAAAACCAGAUGAAUUCAAAGUAAUAGCAACUAAACCAAAUAAACUAAGUCAUUUAUU
Molecule: long non-coding RNA, 340 nt
Filed under: Ananas comosus (pineapple)
Lineage: Eukaryota; Viridiplantae; Streptophyta; Magnoliopsida; Poales; Bromeliaceae
Description: long non-coding RNA (ACOM_LNC036938)
Source: RNAcentral